GAGUGGCGGCGGCGGCGGUGGCGCUGGUGGCGGCGGUGGCGGAGGUGGAGGUGGAGGUGGAAGCUGAAGCUGAAGCAGAGCCAGAGGCGGCGCGGCGGGGUGCUCGGCGGCGCGGCACGCGGCCCAGAAGCGUUGGAAUCCUGAAUUGAGACGGCUGCGCCUAAAGACAGCAGGAGUGGCGGGGCCGCCGCCGUCGCCGGAGAGAUGAGCCGGGAAGCUUGAGGCCGGAGACGCCCGCCUUCGGGCCCGUCCGCCCGGCUUCCCCGCUCCCGGGUACUGGAAGAUGAAAGAGACUAUACAAGGGACCGGGUCCUGGGGGCCUGAGCCUCCUGGACCCGGCAUACCCCCAGCUUACUCAAGUCCCAGGCGGGAGCGUCUUCGUUGGCCCCCACCUCCCAAACCCCGACUCAAGUCAGGUGGAGGGUUUGGGCCAGAUCCUGGGUCAGGGACCACAGUGCCAGCCAGACGCCUCCCUGUCCCCCGACCCUCUUUUGAUGCCUCAGCAAGUGAAGAGGAGGAAGAAGAGGAGGAGGAGGAGGAUGAAGAUGAAGAGGAGGAAGUGGCAGCUUGGAGGCUGCCCCCAAGAUGGAGUCAGCUGGGAACCUCCCAGCGGCCCCGCCCUUCCCGCCCCACUCAUCGAAAAACCUGCUCACAGCGCCGCCGCCGAGCCAUGAGAGCCUUCCGGAUGCUGCUCUACUCAAAAAGCACCUCGCUGACAUUCCACUGGAAGCUUUGGGGGCGCCACCGGGGCCGGCGGCGGGGCCUCGCACACCCCAAGAACCAUCUUUCACCCCAGCAAGGGGGUGCGACGCCACAGGUGCCAUCCCCCUGUUGUCGUUUUGACUCCCCCCGGGGGCCACCUCCACCCCGGCUGGGUCUGCUAGGUGCUCUCAUGGCUGAGGAUGGGGUGAGAGGGUCUCCACCAGUGCCCUCUGGGCCCCCCAUGGAGGAAGAUGGACUCAGGUGGACUCCAAAGUCUCCUCUGGACCCUGACUCGGGCCUCCUUUCAUGUACUCUGCCCAACGGUUUUGGGGGACAAUCUGGGCCAGAAGGGGAGCGCAGCUUGGCACCCCCUGAUGCCAGCAUCCUCAUCAGCAAUGUGUGCAGCAUCGGGGACCAUGUGGCCCAGGAGCUUUUUCAGGGCUCAGAUUUGGGCAUGGCAGAAGAGGCAGAGAGGCCUGGGGAGAAAGCCGGCCAGCACAGCCCCCUGCGAGAGGAGCAUGUGACCUGCGUACAGAGCAUCUUGGACGAAUUCCUUCAAACGUAUGGCAGCCUCAUACCCCUCAGCACUGAUGAGGUAGUAGAGAAGCUGGAGGACAUUUUCCAGCAGGAGUUUUCCACCCCUUCCAGGAAGGGCCUGGUGUUGCAGCUGAUCCAGUCUUACCAGCGGAUGCCAGGCAAUGCCAUGGUGAGGGGCUUCCGAGUGGCUUAUAAGCGGCACGUGCUGACCAUGGAUGACUUGGGGACCUUGUAUGGACAGAACUGGCUCAAUGACCAGGUGAUGAACAUGUAUGGAGACCUGGUCAUGGACACAGUCCCUGAAAAGGUGCAUUUCUUCAAUAGUUUCUUCUAUGAUAAACUCCGUACCAAGGGUUAUGAUGGGGUGAAAAGGUGGACCAAAAACGUGGACAUCUUCAAUAAGGAGCUACUGCUAAUCCCCAUCCACCUGGAGGUGCAUUGGUCCCUCAUCUCUGUUGAUGUGAGGCGACGCACCAUCACCUAUUUUGACUCGCAGCGUACCCUAAACCGCCGCUGCCCUAAGCAUAUUGCCAAGUAUCUACAGGCAGAGGCGGUAAAGAAAGACCGACUGGAUUUCCACCAGGGCUGGAAAGGUUACUUCAAAAUGAAUGUGGCCAGGCAGAAUAAUGACAGUGACUGUGGUGCUUUUGUGUUGCAGUACUGCAAGCAUCUGGCCCUGUCUCAGCCAUUCAGCUUCACCCAGCAGGACAUGCCCAAACUUCGUCGGCAGAUCUACAAGGAGCUGUGUCACUGCAAACUCACUGUCCAGGGGAAUCCUCCCAUCCCUACGAUAUCGCUGUUGAUUCCUUCAUCCCUGGCACACGUCCAGGCAGUGUCGAAUCCAUCUCUGCUACAGGGGAAAACAAAUAACAUUUGAGUCCAGUGGAGACCGGGAGCAGAAGUAAAGGGAAGUGAUAACCCCCAGAGCCCGGAAGCCUCUGGAGGCUGAGACCUCGCCCCCCUUGCGUGAUAGGGCCUACGGAGCCACAUGACCAAGGCACUGUCGCCUCCGCACGUGUGAGAGUGCAGGGCCCCAAGAUGGCUGCCAGGCCUCGAGGCCUGACUCUUCUAUGUCACUUCCGUACCGGCGAGAAAGGCGGGCCCUCCAGCCAAUGAGGCUGCGGGGCGGGCCUUCACCUUGAUAGGCACUCGAGUUAUCCAAUGGUGCCUGCGGGCCGGAGCGACUAGGAACUAACGUCAUGCCGAGUUGCUGAGCGCCGGCAGGCGGGGCCGGGGCGGCCAAACCAAUGCGAUGGCCGGGGCGGAGUCGGGCGCUCUAUAAGUUGUCGAUAGGCGGGCACUCCGCCCUAGUUUCUAAGGAUCAUGUCUGCGAGCCAGGAUUCCCGAUCCAGAGACAAUGGCCCCGAUGGGAUGGAGCCCGAAGGCGUCAUCGAGAGUAACUGGAAUGAGAUUGUUGACAGCUUUGAUGACAUGAACCUCUCGGAGUCCCUUCUCCGUGGCAUCUACGCGUAUGGUUUUGAGAAGCCCUCUGCCAUCCAGCAGCGAGCCAUUCUACCUUGUAUCAAGGGUUAUGAUGUGAUUGCUCAAGCCCAAUCUGGGACUGGGAAAACGGCCACAUUUGCCAUAUCGAUUCUGCAGCAGAUUGAAUUAGAUCUAAAAGCCACCCAGGCCUUGGUCCUAGCACCCACUCGAGAAUUGGCUCAGCAGAUACAGAAGGUGGUCAUGGCACUAGGAGACUACAUGGGCGCCUCCUGUCACGCCUGUAUCGGGGGCACCAACGUGCGUGCUGAGGUGCAGAAACUGCAGAUGGAAGCUCCCCACAUCAUCGUGGGUACCCCUGGCCGUGUGUUUGAUAUGCUUAACCGGAGAUACCUGUCCCCCAAAUACAUCAAGAUGUUUGUACUGGAUGAAGCUGACGAAAUGUUAAGCCGUGGAUUCAAGGACCAGAUCUAUGACAUAUUCCAAAAGCUCAACAGCAACACCCAGGUAGUUUUGCUGUCAGCCACAAUGCCUUCUGAUGUGCUUGAGGUGACCAAGAAGUUCAUGAGGGACCCCAUUCGGAUUCUUGUCAAGAAGGAAGAGUUGACCCUGGAGGGUAUCCGCCAGUUCUACAUCAACGUGGAACGAGAGGAGUGGAAGCUGGACACACUAUGUGACUUGUAUGAAACCCUGACCAUCACCCAGGCAGUCAUCUUCAUCAACACCCGGAGGAAGGUGGACUGGCUCACCGAGAAGAUGCAUGCUCGAGAUUUCACUGUAUCCGCCAUGCAUGGAGAUAUGGACCAAAAGGAACGAGACGUGAUUAUGAGGGAGUUUCGUUCUGGCUCUAGCAGAGUUUUGAUUACCACUGACCUGCUGGCCAGAGGCAUUGAUGUGCAGCAGGUUUCUUUAGUCAUCAACUAUGACCUUCCCACCAACAGGGAAAACUAUAUCCACAGAAUCGGUCGAGGUGGACGGUUUGGCCGUAAAGGUGUGGCUAUUAACAUGGUGACAGAAGAAGACAAGAGGACUCUUCGAGACAUUGAGACCUUCUACAACACCUCCAUUGAGGAAAUGCCCCUCAAUGUUGCUGACCUCAUCUGAGGGGCUGUCCUGCCACCCAGCCCCAGCCAGGGCUCAAUCUCUGGGGGCUGAGGAGCAGCAGGAGGGGGGAGGGAAGGGAGCCAAGGGAUGGACAUCUUGUCAUUUUUUUUCUUUGAAUAAAUGUCACUUUUUGAGGCAAAAGAAGGAACCGUGAACAUUUUAGACACCCUUUUCUUUGGGGUAGGCUCUUGCCCCAGGCGCCGGCUCUUCUCCCAAAAAAAAAAAAAAAACACUAAUCCAUUUCCCUAACCUAGUAACCUCCAGAUCCCAGAGGCUCUCCUCACCUCAGCUGAGCUCCUUUGAAAGUGAUUCAAGGGACUAUGUCACUCAGCCUCAUUUGCUGGACCAAAUCUGGAGGGAGAACCCCUAAAACCCCUAAGUGAGGUUGCCCAGGGGGUUGUCCCCAGGUGGGGGGAAGCAGGGGAGAGAAAAUGGUAGCCAUUUUUACAUUGUUUUGUAUAGUAUUUAUUGAUUCAGGAAACAAACACAAAAUUCUGAAUAAAAUGACUUGGAAACUGCC
Molecule: long non-coding RNA, 4303 nt
Filed under: Homo sapiens (human)
Lineage: Eukaryota; Metazoa; Chordata; Mammalia; Primates; Hominidae
Description: SENP3-EIF4A1 readthrough (NMD candidate) (SENP3-EIF4A1)
Source: RNAcentral